CUCCAUCAAUGAUUGGCUCUUUUACUUAAAGAGUUUGACUCGGUUUCUCAUAUUUUGUCUCUGCUUUCCAAUAAACUAGACAAUGCUCUUCAGGGAGGAAUUAGGCAAUUAGCUAUGCCACCCACAUUAUCUGAGAUACUCUACUCAAAAUCAAAGAAGAAGAACAACAACAACAAGAAGAAGACGAAGAGAGUGAAGUGAAAAAGAGGAAACACGAGUCUGAUGCAGAGCUUAAAGAAGUUUCAUCAUAUGGAGAUAUGAAGAGACUAAAAGAGAGUAAAAUCAUGAACAUGGCUACAAACGUGAACUAUCAUUCUUAAAAGUCUGUUUUUUUUUCCUUUUUCUAAGUACAAAGAUUCAAUUUUUCUAGAUUAUGAUAUCAAUGGCAGUGGAAGCGAAUUUGCUUGCAA
Long non-coding RNA from Brassica napus (rape), 410 nucleotides. RefSeq lists it as uncharacterized. The record is from RefSeq and is a predicted model, not a curated record. Lineage: Eukaryota; Viridiplantae; Streptophyta; Magnoliopsida; Brassicales; Brassicaceae. The transcript is spliced from 2 exons.